CCUACGGGAGGCAGCAGUGGGGAAUCUUGCGCAAUGGGCGAAAGCCUGACGCAGCAACGCCGCGUGCGGGAAGAAGGCUUUCGGGCUGUAAACCGCUUUCAGCAGGAACGAAAAUGACGGUACCUGCAGAAGAAGGAGCGGCCAACUAUGUGCCAGCAGCCGCGGUGAUACAUAGGCUUCAAGCGUUGUCCGGAUUUAUUGGGCGUAAAGAGUUCGUAGGCGGUCGAGUAAGUCGGGUGUGAAAAUUCUGGGCUCAACCCAGAGACGCCACCCGAUACUGCUUAACUUGAGUUCGAUAGGGGAGUGGGGAAUUCCUAGUGUAGCGGUGAAAUGCGCAGAUAUUAGGAGGAACACCGGUGGCGAAGGCGCCACUCUGGAUCGAUACUGACGCUGAGGAACGAAAGCAUGGGUAGCAAACAGGAUUAGAUACCCUGGUAGUCCAUGCCGUAAACGGUGGGCACUAGGUGUGGGAUUCUAUUAACGAAUUCCGCGCCGUCGCUAACGCAUUAAGUGCCCCGCCUGGGGAAGUCGGUCGCAAGACUAAAACUCAAAUGAAUUGACGGCUGAGACGNGCGAGACGACGACGAGGAGAG
Molecule: ribosomal RNA, 593 nt
Filed under: uncultured bacterium
Lineage: Bacteria
Description: bacterial SSU rRNA
Rfam family: Bacterial small subunit ribosomal RNA
Source: RNAcentral